CUCCAAUCAGCAGCUUGGAUUAUCUUGCCCAUGUGAAUUUCGGGAUUAUGAUCCAUUCAUGGAGGAUCUAACAGAUGAACGGAUUGAAUUUAUAGUGCUCAAGCCCACGGAGAGCACGUGUUGACCCAACGCAAUCAUGUGGAAAGCACCAAGGAGUGGUGCCUUGCUAGUGGAUAGCUCGUGAGACACGUGGCGCAUGGAUGGCCGAGAUUGAGGGUUGGCAUGUAAGCAUGCAAGUGCCAACGUUGCUGUAGAAACCAAACUCUUCAUGUUUUCAAGCGUUGGAGGUGGGAGGCGUUGGUCCAAUACAUCCAUCAGCAGUAUAUCUUGGCCACCAGACGUUGCCAAGGAUGAGAGGAGAUCUCCAGGAUGCCUUCCCAUUAUCACUUCAAGUGAUACAACACCAAAGCUAUAUACGUCGCAUUUCUCAGUAACUCUCAUUGUGUAAGCAAACUCUGCACCAAACAUAAAAAAUAAGAUCAUGUUUCAUAACCUACAUCCAUUUGUACUUGAUGCUAUGUCUAGUUCUGCUCAGACCUGAGUCUGGUGAGACAGCCAUUGUAUGCAGCGCUUAAACCACCCAAGAACAUUUUAUGUGUUUGACAUUUACCACGUCCAUCAGGUGGGCUUUCUUGUA
Molecule: long non-coding RNA, 637 nt
Organism: Magnolia sinica
Lineage: Eukaryota; Viridiplantae; Streptophyta; Magnoliopsida; Magnoliales; Magnoliaceae
Exons: 2
Source: RefSeq, a predicted model, not a curated record